AUGUUCUUGGACUGUAUGAUUUGGAGCAGCUAGUCCAGGUGCACUGGUGCCAGCAGGACUAUUAAAGCCUCUUUUCCUGGAAGCAAGCGAGAAGUGCUUCUGAAAGAUUGUUAACAAAUCAAGAAUUCUACUCAACAUUGAGAUUCUUGGAUUGAUCAGAACCUGUCUGUUUUCGUAAACAAUCAUGACCAUGUAUAUCAGAAGAGCUAAAACUGAAAUCAUUCCAGCAAUCAAGAACAGGCCUUUGAAAC
Molecule: unclassified non-coding RNA, 251 nt
Filed under: Hevea brasiliensis (rubber tree)
Lineage: Eukaryota; Viridiplantae; Streptophyta; Magnoliopsida; Malpighiales; Euphorbiaceae
Source: RNAcentral